CAGCAGCCGCGGGAAAACGUAGGUGGCAAGCGUUGUCCGGAUUUAUUGGGCGUAAAGCGAGCGCAGGCGGUCAAUUAAGUCUGAUGUGAAAGCCCCCGGCUCAACCGGGGAGGGUCAUUGGAAACUGGUUGACUUGAGUGCAGAAGAGGAGAGUGGAAUUCCAUGUGUAGCGGUGAAAUGCGUAGAUAUAUGGAGGAACACCAGUGGCGAAGGCGACUCUCUGGUCUGUAACUGACGCUGAGGCUCGAAAGCGUGGGUAGCAAACAGGAUUAGAUACCCCCGUAGUCCCUGUCUCUUAUAC
This 301-nucleotide ribosomal RNA is filed under the name uncultured bacterium. RNAcentral's name for it is "partial 16S ribosomal RNA". It matches the Rfam family "Bacterial small subunit ribosomal RNA", at positions 509 to 807 of the family's 1533-position model. The record is from RNAcentral.